CUCUCUACGUGUGUACACAAGCACAUGUGGGCAUUCUGCAGAAGUGCAACAAAAUGAAUUUCUUGCUUGCAAAUGAAGAGGCCUUACACUUCAUAUUUCUAGCACCAACAUGCACUUAAGAAACCACAUUAUUUAGGAAUCCAUGCUAACAUGGUUGCGGAUAGCUGCGAUCUGCCCCUUCCACGAGCCUUGCAUGAGAAGACGAGGGCAAAAUGUAGCCAAGGACAACCUGCCGACAGUCUGCAGUAGAGGAAUUUUCUCUUAAGUUGAUGCCGGCAGAUCAUCCUUGGCUGCACUCCACUCUCUGCUUCUUCAUGUAAGGCCUGGUGACAACUCUUGAAUGUCAUGAUACUUCCAUAUUUCAAAAGACUAAAGAGGAGGAUGAACUUGCAGGACCCAUCUUCUCCAUCUUGUGCUCUUCCUACUUCAUAUCGCUGAUAUGGUGUUCAUAUAUAUAGGCUGGUCUGCUUGACAAAGUGCUUGUCGUAUUCUCUGUUUGAUUCAUUUGGUUGUGUGGAAAAGUGAUGGAAAUCUUGGGAUGCCUGUUACACCUUCGCGACAAAAUUUUCAAAAGUGAUUUGUUACUUCUAGUGCAAAGAUGCUGUCCAUGUUUGGCCUAGGACAAGACUGGCUCAUAGUUGGCACAAUAUUCCUGGUAGUCUUGUUGGAGUUGAUAUUCUGUUUAAGCCUGAGAAUAAAGUUUCCAACAGUCCAUCUGGAUAGUGGCACUUAUAUGGUGCCAAUGCUUAGGCUCUUCUGGCUGGGUUAGUAUGAGGCCUGCUUUUCUGUAUUCAUUGAAAAGCAGUCUGAAGGCCUAAAUAAUUUUGCUGCUGAGACAUCUCAAACCAGGUCCAAUGAUGCAUUAAAAUGUUACACACACACACACACACACAUUAGAAACAGUGGUUAUUCACCACCACUCAGGUUUGAACUGAGGCCCUCAAUUGGAGAGGUAGGUGCCAACCAGCUGAGCUACCACUACCAGCUGCUGGUCCAUUUACAUGUUAUAUACUGCCAUUGUAUUAACCACAUCUACUUGUUAUCCCUUGAGCCAUCACUAGCACAUUUGCUUUGAAUGAGUUUGUUGUAUUCAUUAAUAUAUUACAUGUUAUGGGACUACACAUGUUGAUAUUGCUCAGUAGUGGUUGAUGCUUAUCUAAACGUCUGGCCAUGUAGACCAAUAAGACUGCAGUGUUUCUCCGGCUUUUUGAAUGGUUCUGCUGUCAUAAAGGUUCAAGCGACCCUUUAAUGCUAGGGAAGGUUGUUCUAGUGGAUACUUUUUUGUAGAGCCAGAUGCUUAUCAGGAAGUAGAGUAUAUAGUACUUUUUGUUAUUUUCUUUAUUAUAAAAAGACAGGCCAUUCCCAAUGAUUGUGUAGGUACCACAAGUUAAUGAAUUCUGAUCUAUCUUAUGGAGGACUAGGAUUUAAUUGGUAUACUGUUUUGGGACCAUGACAAUUGCUUGAGAACCAAUUUCAUGGUUUUUAUUCUACAAUGUAAAAACUCAAAUGGCAGGAAUGAGGAAUUGUUUUAAGAUUUAAUUUGCCUACACUAUUGUUGGUAGUGAGCUGAGAAUAGGGCGCUGAGCUGACACAAAUUUGAUUGGUCAACCAAAGGAUUGUGGAGAUUGAGGUGUAGUCAGAGAAAGCCAACAACAUAGGGUGAACUUCAGAUAUUGAAAGUAAUGAUAUCUUGGUAGAAUGGGAUAAAGGAGGAUGCAUGAUUUUGGGCCAAGUAAGAAGUUUUUGGAGCAGAAAUUGAGACAUUGAAAGAUGCAAGGGAGAUUUAAAAUUAUUAUUAGCGGUUCACUUCAGACCACCAUUCUGGCAAACAAGACAGACUUUCUCUCUAGGUGAUGUUACAGGGUUCAGGUGCCAGGUUGUGCUGACUUCAGAUCAUUUAUCUAAUGGAAUUGGGGCUAUACUAGCAAUCUCCAAAGGAAUUGAUAUUUCACUUCUGGUUGAUAUGGCUAUGUGUUCAUUUUGGAUCUUAGUGCUCAAGUGGAACUACAUGCAUAUUUCCAUUAAAUUCAGGCAUUGCUUGAUGUGUCUGUGUUGGAUGGUUGGCAAGUAUACGCCCAUGACAAAUCAAGUUGUUUGUUGGUAACUACAAGAAGCCUGAGUAUACAAUAAUUGGUAAUUAAAUAUAAUUUACAACCAAAUUAAACUAUAAGUACUGCUGAUCUACACCCACACUUGCCUCUUGGUAGGUCAACCUUGGUACUUCAACCGACUAGCAUGAUUAAUAAAAUCUUAAGAGGUUAAUAAUUAUUGCAUUGGACCUAGAAGGAAAUUAAGCUCUAGCUGGUGAAUGAUUGGCAAAAUUUUUGCAAUUUGAGUUUCAUAAUAAUUGUAAGUAAAAGAAUGGCAGAUGUCAUGGCAAGAGGGAAGUUGGAGAAUCUUUCUCUAGAAAUGAAAGAAUGCAAAUGUUUUCUAAGGAUGCCAUAGAUCUGUUGGAAGCCAAGAGUAUGUCUAUAGGUAAGCCAAAGACGGUAGAAUCAUUUGGGACACAGAGCAUAGAAUAUUAUACAUGUGGAAAAGUUAGUCCGCCAUGUUGCUUGUUAUAAGCUGAAUAAUGCUAUGGAGAAUAUCUCAACCUUUAAUUCUUUUGUUUAUGAAAAAUGCAACAUUAGAAAUUCUAAGAAACUUCUAGCGCAAUUGGAGGUGCCUUUUCUUUUGAGAACGUGAACAUUUAUCGCUAAAUUGUGCUAUGCAUAUGUAAUAUUCUCUCUUGGAGGAAAGCUUUGACUGUGCUUUAUCUUGGAGUUUUGACUUAGAUAGCUGCAUUUUUUACAUGUGACAACAACUGAUUUUAGUGCUGUGAAAACUCUUGAGGCUGUAGAUAUGAUUAAUCCACUGUUAUGUCAAUGGAACACUGAAAUUGGUGUCAUGAUCAGAAUCAAGUAAAAAUUUUGAAAUCGUGGUUCCUUGGUUCAGUGAAUGUUGACCAAACAGGCAUCCACAGAAUAACUGUUCAUUGCAUUUUUGCUGAUCCAUGCAACUUUGUCAUCUGAAGGCACUCUUUUAGCAAAGUGUGGUUGGUUAUUCUCUUUUAAUCUGUAACUCGAUAUAGUUUUCAAUAUUGUUAUGUCAAGGGAAAACUUUGACAUUUUUUGCUGAUCCAGGGGCAAAAUCAUUCACCCCAAAUUUGUACUAUUCUGAAAAAAAAAAGAGAAUAAAUCCAGCAAUAUGUUGCAAAACCAAUAAUUAAGUGGAUUUUCCAUUGAAAAAUCACUAUUUUCAUUAUAGAUUUGUAACUUUACCAUAUUAUUGUUCUGUCAUGGAAUAGUAACUUUUAGGUUGUUCAUCUCUUUAAUAUGUUUCAGAAUUCUUAUCGUCAUUUCUAUAAUAUUAUUUCAAGAAUAUGCUGAAUAAAAUAAAAAAGUAUGAAAACUGUAAAUCUCAUGGUACAUUCUUUUUCUGCUAAAUAGAUUAGCUGAGAUUUGUUGCUAUUUGUAGCACUACAUACUUAGGUGAAAUGUAGGCAGAGAGAUAUUUAACAUUUCCCUGUGAUUUCCCUUGUUAUGGUGCACAUGUGGAACUCUCAGCCACGAUAUUAAACAUAAUUACCACAAGUCUUGAGCAAAGUAGAAUGUCUAUAAAAAUCUUAAAGCAAAUUUAUGUCAAUUCAGAGCAAUUAUAAUAGAGUUGGAGAAGGUUGUAAGGUACAUCUUUGUUGGAUUAACUACUGCUGGCGAAAGAAUGGGUAGAGCGUAGGUAAGCCUGACGGCAUAUAUUUCUUCAUGUUGAGUUAUCUUUACUUAGUCAUCAUCGUACUCACUGAAUGCAAACAUUGUACAAGAAAGGGAUCCCUGAUUCAAAUAUAGUUGGUAUUUGAGGAGGCAAUAUUCAGUCCUGGACUUUAGGUAUUGUUUCAAAUCUUAAGGUUUAUUUUUUUUAAACUGUAAUCAUGGUCAUUCUAAUUGGCAUUAUUGACUUCACCAGCUUCUCCAUGAGCUGAUAGGUAAUUUAGUUCUUUGAAUGAAUUCUAAAGCUUGCUGGUUGGCAUCUUUUUGUCCGAGGCCUGGGGUGAAGAAAUUCAGGAAGGAAUAGCUCAAGAACUCAUGUCUCUACUGGAGGGAGUUGCACAAAUCAAAUUACUGCUGUCAUGUUACAUGCGUUGAGAUUUUGACAUCGAAUAAACUACUCGUUUUUGAACUAUGAAAUUUAUUACGUAUCAAGAGGUGAAAGUGUUGGACCUAAGGAAGGGCAAGCGAUAGCGCUAGCAGUAUCUUGCAUUCAUUAGAGUUCUUCAACUCAUAUGCAUUGUAUGCAUGUGUUGUUUGAGUUGGCAUUACUCAUUUAACUUUUGAAAAAUCCUUAGCAAUCCUUUCAGUAUUUAUGCGUACCUCAUAUUCCAACAAUGGGUAAACACAUGAUCAUCCUGCCACAUAAAUAAUUUUGAGUGCUAAGAGAGCUAUUGCUGCUUAUAAUCCAUUUUACAGUAUGUUUUAUGUGUACUCAAUCCAACUCAUAAUCAGAUUUUUCUACUCUGCUUGAUAUGCACUUAAUAGUAUGAAGUGUGUCUAAGACAAAGUAUGACUGGCUUGGUUCUUGAUAAAUUUGUAUAUGAUGGUAAAUACGGCCAUCCAGUUUUGAAGUUGAUUUCGUCAUUAGGCCGCUCAUUAUGUUCUUAUCUGUUGUUGCAUCAUCUCGAAGCACAGGUUUACACUUUGUAUUGUAAAAAUUUUCAUAGUGCUCUUCGUUGACAUUAUACUGGUCGCUCAAGAAUGCAUCUUUCACUAGUACUGCACGAUCCAUGAACAAAAGAAACAAGAAAAAACUAUGAAAGGUUGCAUACGAAGGUUAGAAAACAAAAGAAAAGAAAAAACUAGACACCAUGAAUAUCUUACUGUUUCAGAAGCCUAAAUUUUUCAGGUCAUACCUCUUGGCGCCGCCGAAGUUCUUCAGGGGGCAUUGCUUGAGUCAUGCAAGGGCCUUGUGUGAGAAGAAGAGAGCAGAAGGUAGCCAAGGACAGACUCGCCGGCAACUUAGGAGUGAGGUAGAGUCUCCUCUUCUUAAGGCUAAUGCCGGCAAGUCAUCCUUGGCUGCAUUCCACUCUCUGCCUCUUCACGUAAGGCCUUGGAUGAGAAAAAGAUGAGACUCCGGCCUCUCUUUCACCAUCUGAUCUGUUGAUGGAGAUGGUAUAUAUGGGCAGAGAUGGGUGUUUCAAAUGGUGACUCGGAAGCUGGCAAUGGAGAGCCAGUGGAAUGGUAUGUAGAUAUUCUCUUAACCCAUUCCCUGGUGGAACUUUUCUCACAGGCAGUGUAUGAUUUUGUGGUGCCAGCUUGACUCUUUCCUUUUUAGGAUGGAAGUGCAGAGGCUAAAAACAGUAAGUGGGCCACGUCUUGUAAGGGAUGCGGGCCCACUCGCAUUGGGUGGUUUGCUUUCUAAAUUGUUUGUUGGGCUGCUGAUGGGAAGAGAAUCUUUGUUGGAGGAAAGUUGGAGAUGAGAGAUAUGGAGUGGGGAUCAUGCCUGGCUCAUGAUCUUUGGCUGGGACCGACAUGGAGAUUUUGACUUUCGACUUAGUCGGAGGCAUCCAUAAUUGGAAAGGUUGGUUUUUGGCUC
This is a long non-coding RNA of Phoenix dactylifera (date palm), 5565 nucleotides long. RefSeq lists it as uncharacterized. Lineage: Eukaryota; Viridiplantae; Streptophyta; Magnoliopsida; Arecales; Arecaceae. The record is from RefSeq and is a predicted model, not a curated record.